Molecule: long non-coding RNA, 1532 nt
Organism: Cyprinodon tularosa
Lineage: Eukaryota; Metazoa; Chordata; Actinopteri; Cyprinodontiformes; Cyprinodontidae
Exons: 2
Source: RefSeq, a predicted model, not a curated record
UUUUUUAUAUGGUUUUAACGAGUUUGAGUUAAGAGUAGUAAAUAACUUGCUCCCAGGAAAAGAACCGUGUGAGGAGGCCCCGGGGCGUUACAGCCUUUACUUUGAAGGGGACAAAUCCUUCUCACUUUAACAAAUUGGUGUUUCCGCCCGUGACCUGGAAGCAGGACAACAGAGCCACCGACGGAAAAAGCUCCACAGCCUGCGGCCGAAACAACUGAUAAGUUGUUGACGAAUGCGCUUCCUUAGCAGAAAAGCGGCUCACUGAAGUUUAUAGGUAAAAAGUUUAAAGCACCGAGGGAUCUCACGUAAGACGUCGAGGUCUAAUUUUAUACACUGUGUGAACGGAAGGUGUAAAAGAUGGAUGCAUGUGGACUAGAAAAUUGAAUCCAGAAACACCUCGUUAAAAGCGAGUCUGGAUAAAGGGAGAAAUAUGAUCAUGGCGAGUUAUCCAUUGAAGGAUGCAGAGCACCACAUUAGAAAAUUUGAUGAAUGGGUAGGAAAAGAAAAAAAAUGAGAGAAGAUGGAGUGUUUGGGGAAUUAGAGGGGCCCCCUCCAAACACUUCACAACGUGGUUUUUUAUUUGGAUACUCUAAAAAAUAGAUUGUCACAAGCUCGUGAAAAAAUGGCUGGUGCUGGUGUGUUCGGACGAGACAAACACCAGAAGGAAGAAACAAAACUUUUGGAUUUGAUUAGACAAACCAAGUUCAAUUUUAGUAACUAUUUUUCUGACAAGGAUUCUGAACAGAAACAGGUGGAGCAAAACGGGGCUCAGGGAGGUGAGCAGGCACUCGACACUUCAGAGGGUAAGAAAAACCUUUCAUGAGUACAUCUAAUAUUGCAGAAACAGAGCCUAUUAUGGACCCCAGUCCACACCAAGGUGUCAGAGAAAUAUUUCGUAAGGCUGGUGAUGCAAUGUUUCCAUCAAACCCAUGUGUGCAGAUGCCUGUUAUGGAGUUGCGUGAAGGUCAGAUAAAUUGUGAAAUAAGGCCUACAGAGGAAGAAUUGGGACAAGAGGUACGAAAGGAGUUUCAGAUGCAAGAUUUAAUAGAGGAGGCGGUAAAUAAAGCAUUUCAGCAUUUCAGUUCCUAUUGUUAUGAAAAUGUCGAUGUUUCUGUGAUUUUUGGAGGUGAACCUUGGAAAGGAAAGCUUAAAAUAUAAGAGGUUGAUAUAUUUACAAUUUACGAUGUCUUGAAAUUAACAUUUUAAAGGUAAGAAGAUCAAUUAGUACAUUUUCAGUGCGGUAAACCCCAACCCCGGCCCAACAUUGAGCUCCAGAAGGUGGAUCACACAGAGCAGCCUUUCACUUAGAGGCAGGAGAGAAAGGAAAAAGCAGACACAGAGAGACUGAGUGCACACAGGGCCGAUCACAGCAGAAGCAGGGCCCAGGAGUCUAGAAGCAGUUUUUACCUUAAAGACAUCUACCAAUUACUACACUAGAAUGGUAUUGUAAUCUGCAUUUAGAGUGACUGAUUCAGGAGCUUAUAUUUGAAAAUGUUAGACCACACAAGCUAAGUUUGUCAAACUGUAGCAAA